UACUUUAUAUUCCUUGGUAAUUAUUAAAUAAGAUUUGUGCUCCAACAACAGGCAAUCUGUGUUGUUUCAUUAAAUAGAACUCGCUCAUUGUAAAAAUAUGUAUGCCGUUAUGCAAAUUUUAGCGUCUCUAUAAAAGACGAAGUUUCACGAGCUAUGAUUCAUUUAGAAUAAGUUAAAGCGAAUGCGUAUGAUAAAAUUACGUCGAUGGUGUCAAAAGGUGGUAAUAUAAAUUUUAUCGUGAAUAUUUUGAUAGUUCGAUAGCAAAUAUGUAUCGUAGAACGUAUAUAUAAAAUUAUACGUUGCUUUAUUACGGUGUCACCGUCACAUUUGGAUCUUUUGUGAAAUUCAUUUUGGAUCUUUGUAAUACUAUAAAUAAUUAAAAGAACUACGUUGGUCGAGCAGAUCUAUUUAAUUUUUGAUAUUAUUAUCUUAAAAGUCCUGGUUACAUACAGAAAUUUCUUUGAUAUAAUUGUUCUACGUAAUACAUUUGAAUUACGUAAAAUAAAUUAAUAAUUAUAAAACUUGUAUCAACGGUGAAUACUUCUUUUAGUUUAG
Molecule: long non-coding RNA, 555 nt
Organism: Vespa velutina
Lineage: Eukaryota; Metazoa; Arthropoda; Insecta; Hymenoptera; Vespidae
Exons: 3
Source: RefSeq, a predicted model, not a curated record